CCUGACGGAGCAACGCCGCGUGAGUGAUGAAGGUCUUAGGAUCGUAAAACUCUGUUGUUAGGGAAGAACAAAUUUGUUAGUAACUGAACAAGUCUUGACGGUACCUAACCAGAAAGCCACGGCUAACUACGUGCCAGCAGCCGCGGUAAUACGUAGGUGGCAAGCGUUAUCCGGAAUUAUUGGGCGUAAAGCGCGCGUAGGCGGUUUCUUAAGUCUGAUGUGAAAGCCCACGGCUCAACCGUGGAGGGUCAUUGGAAACUGGGGAACUUGAGUGCAGAAGAGGAGAGUGGAAUUCCCAUGUGUAGCGGUGAAAUGCGCAGAGAUAUGGAGGAACACCAGUGGCGAAGGCGGCUCUCUGGUCUGUAACUGACGCUGAUGUGCGAAAGCGUGGGGAUCAAACAGGAUUAGAUACCCUGGUAGUCCACGCCGUAAACGAUGAGUGCUAAGUGUUAGGGGGUUUCCGCCCCUUAGUGCUGCAGCUAACGCAUUAAGCACUCCGCCUGGGGAGUACGACCGCAAGGUU
Molecule: ribosomal RNA, 523 nt
Filed under: Staphylococcus sp. SH24
Lineage: Bacteria; Bacillati; Bacillota; Bacilli; Caryophanales; Staphylococcaceae
Description: bacterial SSU rRNA
Rfam family: Bacterial small subunit ribosomal RNA
Source: RNAcentral